This 4179-nucleotide long non-coding RNA is filed under the name Equus caballus (horse). RNAcentral's name for it is "lncRNA (ENSECAG00000058463.1)". The record is from RNAcentral. Lineage: Eukaryota; Metazoa; Chordata; Mammalia; Perissodactyla; Equidae.
GUGUGGUGGAAGAAAGUAGGAAUUUUAUUUUGCACAGCACUGAGCAAGGAGAGAGGGCAGCUAACGCUGAAAUCCCAAACUCCCCAAAAAGCUAAAAGGAAGGGUUUUUAUUUAGGGUUUUAGGUAGGGGAGGGGGAGCAUAUGGCCUUGCUGGUCAGACCUUUCCCACCAGCCUGUGUUUGGCCUUGAGACGACUUGCAGAGAGGAGGGAGCCCGUGACCUUGCUGGUCAGCAGCUUUCCCACCAGCCUGUAUCUCCUCGCAGGGAGGAGAUAGUGAAUCCAGUUCUGUCAGUUUUUGUCUCACACAUUUUGCUGCUAUGCUGUUGGGUCUGAGUUUCUGCCCUGCAUCAUUUUCUUUGUCACAGAGGAACAUCUUUUAACAUUCUCGCAAGGAGAACACAGACCGUGCUCCAACAAGUGUCUGACAACAAUUUGAAGCUUGAUGUUGAGCCCUUCAAAACCACACAGUCUUAGCCCGUCUGUCCCAAGUGUGAGGUUGGAGGGUGGAAGACAGUGGUGACUGGGGGCAUGAGCCUGGAUGAGAUGACUCACAAGGCCUCUUGCAGCCUGAAGAUUUGAGGAUUCUGUGCUGAUGUACCUGUGACAGCCAUCAGAAACCAACAGCAUCUUCUCUAGAAUUUGAGUUUGGAUAUUGGAGCCCCAGAUUUUGACAUGGGGCUGCCUAUUUUAGGGAUCACUAUCCCUUUUGCCUCCAUAAAGACAUUUAAGAUGGUAGUUUGGGCUGCCAGUUUCUAGAAUCUCUCUGAUGAGAGGUAUCUUGGAUCACCUCCCGAGGCUCCCUUGGCUAGGCAAUGUUAGGAAAAUAGUUCUGCAGCAGCAGAGACACCCCCUCCCCAAAGGGUCUGCUCUGCUCGCUCUGUUCCCAGGGCAUAUGGGCACACCUGCCAGCCAGCUCUGGCCCCCUGGAGUAGGCACGUCCCCUGAUGUGGGAGUCAAUGGUCACAGACCCUUUGAUGGUGCACUUUUCUAUACUUGUAUAUUCUCUUCCUUUUUUUCUUCUCCCUCCUUCUCCCCUCUCAAUGUAUCUAAACACCUGAAGAAGAAACUGCUGGUUGCUUACUCCAACAUCUGUUCUUCUCUUCCUCAACAACAAAGACUUGAAUUUGUUUUUUUUUUAAUAUAUUCUUUUUUUUUUUGAGGAAGAUUAGCCCUGAGCUGACAUCUGCUGCCAAUCCUCCUCUUUUUGCUGAGGAAGGCUGGCCCUGAGCUAACAUCCGUGCCCAUCUUCCUCUCCUUUAUAUGUGGGACGCCUACCACAGCAUGGCUUGCCAAGCGGUGCCAUAUCCGCACCCAGGAUCCGAACCGGUGAACCCCAGGCUGCCAAAGUGGAACGUGCGAACUUAACCGCUGAGCCACCGGGCCGGCCCCUUGAAUUUGUUUGAGGAUGGCAAUGUACCCAGUUUAAGAAAGUCUCCAUUAGAAGGAGUGGCCAGACGAAGUUAUGGCCAAUAAGUUGUAAGCAGAAGGGUUGUGCAGUAUUUCUGGGAAGCUUCCUCAAAAGGAAGGAGUAAUUUUUCUUCCCUUUCUUCCUUUUUGCUAUCUGGAUUGUGGAUACAAUGACUGGCACUUAAGCAGCCAUUAAGGACACUGAGGCAACAUGCUAAAUAUGGUGAAGUAGCAGCUUGGAAGAAAUUGGGGUCUCUGGUGACUUUAUAGAGUCACCCUAGCAACCCUGGCCUGCCUGCCCUCAGACUUCUCUUAUGGGAGAGAUAAAUAAGCUUCUGUCUUUUGAAAGCAACUGUUAUUGCAACCAGAGCUAAUCCUAACUAAUACAAUAUUCCCUCUCUAAACUCAGACUGUAGCUUGACAAGUAGCUCCAGAUAAUAGGGUGGAGUUUUAUGGGUUAAAAUAUGGAUAUGGAGAAGAGCGAAAAUUUAGAAUAUCUUAAGGGAUAACAGUGGGGAUUUCCCUAGGCAAGAGGCACAAGAAUAGCACUAGGCUGUACGCAGUUUCCCUUCACAGUAAGGCCCAUUUGGACCCCAUUGCAUCUCUCAGAUUUGCCACUAUAUCCCCAGUGCCUACCCCAGUGCCUGACACAUAGAACCGGCUCAAUUAAAAAUUGUUGAAAGAGUAAACAGUUUGUUGCUUUUGUAAGUGCUCUGACCAACAGGCCAAUUCACUUCGGAAAGCUCCCCCCUCAUCCCCAUGCGAAAUCUCUUCUACAACCCACCAUCACCUGUCACCACCUCUGAAACUUGCAUACAUUUAUUAACUGGUCAGCAGGCAUCAGGUACUGUGUUCAGCUUGGAGGAUGAAGUGCUGAGCAAAACAGGUGGUAGCAGCAGGAAGUUCACCAGUGGGACAGCAGAGAAAUUGCGAGAAGCCCUGCUGAGGAAGCCCCAGUGGGCUGGGGCCGUCUUGUUUUUUGCUGAGGAAGAUUCACCCUGAGCUAACAUCUGUGCCAAUCUUCCUCUAUAUUGUAUGUGGGUUGCCGCCACAGCAUGGCCACUGAUGAGUGGUGUAGGUCCGCACCCAGGAGCCAAACCCGAGCUGCAGAAGCGGAGAACACUGGACUUAAUCACUAAGCCAUGGGGCUGGUGGGGCCAUCAUUUUUGCUCACGUUCCUCCUCUUCUAGUUCUUGUCUUCCCCACCCACCCCCUCCUGGUCAUCUCUUUUUCAUUCUUUCCUGUCCUCUCCAUUUAUCUACAUCAGUCACAAAUCUUUCAAAGGUGAGCCUGUUCCCUCUGCCUACCCAAGACAUCCUCCAUGCAGCCCACCUCCUUCUCUCCCACUUGAGUUUGGUGACCCAGAGCUUGUAAGUGUGUUGUCACACCACAACCAGAAGUGGUUCAUGAAAUGAGACAAGCUGGGAAAUAAGGCUGUAAGUGAUUCCUUCCUCUACAAAAUUACAUGGAGUGCUGUGGUGCUGAGCCCUGUAUUGGUCUUGAAAACUGGACAUUUCCUCAGCAACUUGAUAAGAAUUCGCUAUGAGGCUGACUAGAAUCUGGGGGCUGGAGGGGAAACUGAGGCCUAGAGCAAAGAGGUAACCGUACAAGUUUCACUGCUAGAGGGCUCUGCCUGGCCCAGGGACUUACUAAGGCAUGGCUCAGAAAUGAUCCUGGGUAACUGCUUUGUUUUGCAAAUUGCAAAACUGAGGUCUGGAGACACCAAUGACUUGCCCAGGGCAUGUGGCUUGUUCCCAAAGACUAGGACUACAGCCCAGGACUCCUGACUCUUCUUCCUAGAACACCUCAGCUGCCUCAGUCUUCUCCAGAGUGACCUUUAGAGACUAGUUUAAUUUUGUAAGCUGGUGGGGCUUGCAGUAAGAACUUUGAAGAAGAAAUGUCAAAAGGAAUCGACAAGAAUAAAAAUGGAGAGGAGAUCACAAAGCUCAGUGUCCCUUGAGGCUUUUCCUAUCUCUUUCCUUGACACCUCCCUAGCCAGCCCCUCCUCCUCCCUUGCACGGCCUCACUGUUUGCGGCGUCCAAAGGGUGGCUCUGGCCUCCUCUGCACCCACUUCCCAGGGCGCAUGUCCACUCACAUCACUUUAGCUCCUGUGACAUGCAGACACUUCCACAUCUGCUGCUCCUGCCCUGGACUUCACAUUUCUUUCCACAGCUGGUUCUGGGAUAUUUCCAUAUGUAAAUAUGCUUAGCUCAGCUGGAAAUCAAAAUUGGAAUUCAUCUUCCCUCUGAAAAUCUGCAGCCUUUUCCUACACCCCUGUUUCCUUCCGUGCUUCCAUAGUCUCCCAGACUCAAAACUUUCGUGUCCCCAGAGGCUGGAGGAGUUGGGAAGGGGAGUCAGUGUUUAAUGGGGACAGAGCUUCAGUUUGGGAAGAUGACAACGUUCUGGACACGGAUGGUGAUGAUGGUUGUCCAACAAUGUGAAUGUACUUAAUGCCACUGAACUGCACACUUAAUAAUGGUUACAAUGGAGAAAAAUGGUUGCAGGGGUAAAUUUUAUAUGUAUUUAACACAAUAUAAAAAACAUAAAACAAAAAACUUUCAUGUUAUCCUUGACUCAUGGCUACUUUGCUCUCUCCUUCCCAGCUCACUUUGUCCCCGGGUCAUGCUGAGUUUUCACUUAGUGGAAGUUCCUCAAACUUUCACAAACUCCAGCAUCAUCAGGGACGCUUGUUAGUUAUCAAUUCCCGAGCCCCAUCCCCCUCUUUAGUCUAAGAGUGAGGCCUGGAAUCUGCAUUUUAAACGAACUUGCC